This 485-nucleotide ribosomal RNA is filed under the name uncultured bacterium. RNAcentral's name for it is "partial 16S ribosomal RNA". It matches the Rfam family "Bacterial small subunit ribosomal RNA", at positions 28 to 523 of the family's 1533-position model. The record is from RNAcentral.
GACGAACGCUGGCGGCGUGCUUAACACAUGCAAGUCGAACGGUGAAAGCGGAGCUUGCUCCGCUGGAUCAGUGGCGAACGGGUGAGUAACACGUGGGCAACCUGCCCCUCACUUCGGGAUAACUCCGGGAAACCGGGGCUAAUACCGGAUAUGACCUCCUUGGGCAUCCUUGGAGGUGGAAAGUUUUUCGGUGAGGGAUGGGCCCGCAGCCUAUCAGCUUGUUGGUGAGGUAGUGGCUCACCAAGGCGACGACGGGUAGCCGGCCUGAGAGGGCGACCGGCCACACUGGGACUGAGACACGGCCCAGACUCCUACGGGAGGCAGCAGUGGGGAAUAUUGCGCAAUGGGCGCAAGCCUGACGCAGCAACGCCGCGUGCGGGAUGACGGCCUUCGGGUUGUAAACCGCUUUCAGCAGGGAAGAAGCCGCAAGGUGGCGGUACCUGCAGAAGAAGCACCGGCUAACUACGUGCCAGCCGCCGCAGUAA